AACGAACGCUGGCGGCAGGCUUAACACAUGCAAGUCGAGCGCCCCGCCAGGGGAGCGGCAGACGGGUGAGUAACGCGUGGGAACGUACCUUUUGGUUCGGAACAACUCCGGGAAACUGGAGCUAAUACCGGAUAAGCCCUAACGGGGAAAGAUUUAUCGCCGAAAGAUCGGCCCGCGUCUGAUUAGCUAGUUGGUGAGGUAACGGCUCACCAAGGCGACGAUCAGUAGCUGGUCUGAGAGGAUGAUCAGCCACACUGGGACUGAGACACGGCCCAGACUCCUACGGGAGGCAGCAGUGGGGAAUAUUGGACAAUGGGCACAAGCCUGAUCCAGCCAUGCCGCGUGAGUGAUGAAGGCCUUAGGGUUGUAAAGCUCUUUUGUCCGGGAAGAUAAUGACUGUACCGGAAGAAUAAGCCCCGGCUAACUUCGUG
Molecule: ribosomal RNA, 431 nt
Filed under: uncultured bacterium
Lineage: Bacteria
Description: partial 16S ribosomal RNA
Rfam family: Bacterial small subunit ribosomal RNA
Source: RNAcentral